GGGGGAUUAGCUCAGCUGGGAGAGCGGCGCCUUUGCAAGGCGUAGGUCGUCGGUUCGAUCCCGACAUCCUCCA
Molecule: transfer RNA, 73 nt
Filed under: Myxococcales bacterium
Lineage: Bacteria; Pseudomonadati; Myxococcota; Myxococcia; Myxococcales
Description: tRNA-Ala
Rfam family: tRNA
About the family: Transfer RNA (tRNA) molecules are approximately 80 nucleotides in length. Their secondary structure includes four short double-helical elements and three loops (D, anti-codon, and T loops).
Source: RNAcentral